GGGCUUGUUUGCUUUUCUCUGGAUGGUCCUCAGUUGGAAGCAGGGCCAAAAAUUAGAUUAACAAUCAAGUCCGGGCUCUUCGGGGCCAGUUGUUACAGGGCUUACUAUUUGGCUUCCUGGAGUCCUUGCUAGAAAAAGUGAUCUGAUACUCACCAGUCUGACUUGGAGGUGGUAGGCUGGCUUCUAGUAGAUAACAGGGGCUCAUCAGAAGGUCCCUGAAGUUCCCAUGACUCCAGAAAGAAAACCCUUGGGCAUCCAGAGGGGGUACGACCAGACUCCUCAUGCUGAAGUGUCUGUCCUUGGUCUAUCAGGCAACCCUAGACCACCGGCUUCCAGAAGAGCCCACACCAGGCAUCGCUCCCGCUUGGUCCACACGAAACAAACGCACACCACUCACCCAGACGAACCCUAGGAGAGCAGGCUGCUCCCUGCAGAGCGAGCACCGCUCCGGCUCUGCCACCAGAGCAGCUGGGAGUCCUUCUCUUACUCUCUGGAACUGCCUUUGGGUUAUCAGACCCCAGUUCCCUGUGUCUCCCAGCUGCCGGGAACACAUUUCAAACCUGUCCGGUGGGCUCCCUGGAAGCGCUUGCAAAUUGAGAAUUAGAAAAAAGAAGAUUUUGUCAGCUCACAUGAACUGCGCAGACUUACUGAAGGACCAGCAGGCUGGGGACCCUGGCAUAUGAAUUAUGGAGGAAACGUGCCAAUGUACACAGCAGGAGUAACUAGUAAGGAUGUAAAAAUCUGCCUUUCAUAACAUUUUUGAAAGGCAGAGUUCUCCUGAUUAAUGAGAAAAUUACGGAGGAAACCUAGAGCAUUUCUGGGACUUGACCGUUAUCCGGGAGAACCAAGAAUUUCAGAGUUUGUUUACCCCAGCAGGUUUUAAGCCCAGCUGCUCGUUAAUCCCUCUAGAUUCCAUUUUGCUGAUCUUGCUAUCCUGUUGGAAUCACUUCUUCAAUCCUUCUCAGGCCCUUCCACCACAAUCACCUUCACCUUGCCACUUGAAAUUAAUCUAGAGUCCUUGAAAGGGAAUGGCUGGGUGAGGCACUUCUUGGUAUCAGUAGGAGAGGCGAGAUGGAAGUGCUACUUACCCUAAGCUUCACAGGUGCUCUCUACAAGAGUGAAGUUCCACCUUCAAGACCUAGAAUCUAGGUUUGGAGACUAGACAUAAAGAUUCACUAAAUGAUGAUUACACAUUGCUCUCAUUAUGUAUAGGAAACUGUGAGUUGAGUUCUCUACGGUGGUGGUGGAGUACAUGAGAAAAGAUUUAAGAAGCCCCUUUCUAGACUGUGGGAGGCCACAAGAUUUUCUCAACGCAGGUCAAGGAAGAUUUCCAGUUGAGAGUAGAAAAGUAAAUCUUAUUAUCCCUUGAACCAACGAACUUACAUCUUAGAACUGACCAACAGACUUGGAUUCAAAUUUUGGCUGCUCCAUAAAUGAAUAAACAGAUUCCAGUUUCUCUGUGGCUCAUAAAAACUGGCUCAGAGUAAACACCUUUCCCUCCAAAUCUUGACAAAUUAGCUGAGCACCACCUGAGGACAGUAGCAGUGCUCAGUUGCAUCUUACCCUUUGCAAUCCUUGGGACUGUUACCCGCCAGGCUCCUCUGUCCAUGGAAUUCUCCUAGCAAGAAUACUGGAGUGGGUUACCAUUCACUCCUCCAGGGGAUCUUCCUGACCUAAGGAUCAAAUCUGCAUCUCCUGUACUGGCAGGUGGAUUCUUUACCACUGAGCCACCAGGGAAGCCCUCUGGGAAGCCCACAUGAAGAUAAAGUGAAGUGAAAGUCGCUCAGUCGUGUUUAACUCUUUGCGACCCCAUGAACAUGGAAUUCUCCAGGCAAGAAUACUGGAGUGGGUAGCCAUUUCCUUCUCCAGGGGAUCUUCCCAACCAAGGUCUCCUGCAUUGCAGGUGGAUUCUUUACCAAAUGAGCCACAAGGGAAG
Molecule: long non-coding RNA, 1936 nt
Organism: Bos taurus (domestic cattle)
Lineage: Eukaryota; Metazoa; Chordata; Mammalia; Artiodactyla; Bovidae
Source: Ensembl